CCCCUCUCAGGGUAGCAUCUGGAGAGUUUCUAGUAUUCUACCAGUCUCAGCUAUAGGAGGAAGAGCCAAGAGGAGACAUACCCAUUCCAUUCCUAGAUUGGGCAAUGGCUGGCGAGUGGAAGGCCAUCUGCUACAAGU
Tachyglossus aculeatus (Australian echidna) is the source of this 138-nucleotide small nucleolar RNA. NCBI's taxonomy places the organism in Eukaryota, Metazoa, Chordata, Mammalia, Monotremata, Tachyglossidae. The record is from RefSeq and is a predicted model, not a curated record.